UGGACCAAUGAUGACAGCGUGUCAUGAACUAAGGAUUCUAUUUAAUCCAAUUCUCUUACUUAAGAACAUU
Molecule: small nucleolar RNA, 70 nt
Filed under: Loxodonta africana (African savanna elephant)
Lineage: Eukaryota; Metazoa; Chordata; Mammalia; Proboscidea; Elephantidae
Description: Small nucleolar RNA SNORD112 (ENSLAFG00000032820.1)
Source: RNAcentral